UACGAAGGGGGCUAGCGUUGCUCGGAAUUACUGGGCGUAAAGCGCACGUAGGCGGCUCUUUAAGUCGGGGGUGAAAUCCUGGAGCUCAACUCCAGAACUGCCUUCGAUACUGUAGAGCUUGAGUUCGGGAGAGGUGAGUGGAACUGCGAGUGUAGAGGUGAAAUUCGUAGAUAUUCGCAAGAACACCAGUGGCGAAGGCGGCUGACUGGUCCGGUUCUGACGCUGAGGCGCGAAAGCGUGGGGAGCAAACAGG
This 253-nucleotide ribosomal RNA is filed under the name uncultured bacterium. RNAcentral describes it as "partial 16S ribosomal RNA". It matches the Rfam family "Bacterial small subunit ribosomal RNA", at positions 524 to 776 of the family's 1533-position model. The record is from RNAcentral.